GUUUCUUUGCGUAAAAAGACAAAUGUCAUAUUCCGAAAGUUUACAAAAGCAAAAUUGAGGGAAACCAAAGAGAUUUUACGCGUAGCAUCUGCAUUAAUUGUAUCCGUGAGAAUUAAAAAGAAAUAAUAAGAGCCAUAUGUUAUGUAGAAGUUGCGUUGUCAUGUCCUCGUUUCCUGACCUUGGUGUUUGAGUUUUGAAGUAAAGAUCUGAAGCUCUGGCAGUCACAAUUAACGUAGUAUAUAGGGAAGGUUGUGACCGUCAGUUACGUCAAGCCGGUUUCCGUUGAUACUGGACUCCAUCAAGGCCGCAACAUUCCGCUGUAAACUUUAACAGAUAGAUAUUAUUUUUGCCGCAAAAGAGUAAUUACAGUAUAUCUUCUCAAAUAAGGGGUUUUGUUAUAUAUUUUUUUCAUUUGAGUACUAUGACCAUGGAGGUAUACCUCCAUGCUAUGACUGAAGUAAUGUGGUAGCGUACCUUGGGAUGGAUCAAAGUCGAGCUUCGUGACGCAACCGAAGUUCUCCACCAAUCCAAUCAAGGUAUAGAUAUGAACGAUAUACAUAGUCUGCAUUAUACGUAUGUACACCUGAGAAGAGUCUAGUUGCCCUAUUGGUGGUGAGGUGAACUAUAGUAGACACAAUUUGUAUGGAGUUUUAAGGAUUUUAAGCGCUUCGUUGAAGGAGAACUUUCUUCUAUUAGAUUAACUUUUGAAAGUGUGGAAAUUCAAUUUAGACCCUAUUUAAUUAUGCGGACGAAAAGCAGAAAGACCAGAUUGAAUUCUGAUCCAGUCUUAAAUUUACCGGAUAAUAUGUAUUUUGCAAGUCCACUAUAGUUUUCACCAGAUACCUGUAGUUAGAGUCUAUGUCACGAAUGUAUGAUGUAUGGGCUCCUAUUAAUUUUUAUUGUAAAAUAUGUCCCCUUGUAUUUUUUUUCAAAAUUAUCCUCUGAAAGCUUUGCGUUGGCCAAAAUUUGAUGGGUGAGGCUAGGUCAAGAGUGAGUCAAGGAAGUGUCAUUGCGGCUAUGUUUACGUGUCUAUGAAUUGUAAUCGUAUUGUAUGUAAACAUAUUUAACUUUGUAUUAUUCCUGUUAAGGGACAGGUAGGCUCUAUGCAGGACACAAAUAGGUACAGGUGAGGGGGUUUGAGCUGACUGCGGCAUUGCCCCGCGCUUUGCAGUACGCUGCUGGCCCUAUGAUUGGUGGCGUAUUGCGCAUUGCCUCGGCGCAGUGCAGUACGCUGCCGGCCUUUUGAUUGGUGGCGUAUUCGUGGUGCUGUGGCGCAGUGGCGCAUUGCAGUUCAUUCCCUGUCUCCUGGUUGGUUGGGUCCUGGAUAUAAAACUGCCUCUCCCUUAGCAGCGGGAGUUCCAUCUUAAGUUCGCUCUUGGAUAAUUAAAGUGUACGUAUAACAUCUUAA
This is a long non-coding RNA of Lineus longissimus, 1408 nucleotides long. RefSeq lists it as uncharacterized. Lineage: Eukaryota; Metazoa; Nemertea; Pilidiophora; Heteronemertea; Lineidae. The record is from RefSeq and is a predicted model, not a curated record. The transcript has 2 exons.